UAUUCCUGUACCUCUUGGUAAUGCGGAUGGGGGGACGGAGAAGGUUAGGUCAGCCGGGUGUUGGACGUCCCGGUUCAAGCGUGUAGGCAGACCUCUUAGGCAAAUCCGGGGGGUUAAUGCUGAGGCGUGAUAACGAGUGGUCUUGUACCGCAAAGUGAUUGAUACCAUGCUUCCAAGAAAAGCCUCUAAGCUUCAGUUACCAGGAGACCGUACCGCAAACCGACACAGGUGGGCAGGAUGAAAAUUCUAAGGCGCUUGAGAGAACUCAGGAGAAGGAACUCGGCAAAAUUUGCACCGUAACUUCGGGAAAAGGUGCGCCCUGAUAGGUUGUAGCCCCUCGCGGGUGAAGGCUGAAAGGGUUGCAGUGAAAUGGUGGCUGCGACUGUUUAAUAAAAACACAGCACUCUGCAAACACGAAAGUGGACGUAUAGGGUGUGACGCCUGCCCGGUGCCGGAAGGUUAAGUGAUGGGGUGCAAGCUCUUGAUCGAAGCCCCGGUAAACGGCGGCCGUAACAAUAACGGUCCUAAGGUAGCGAAAUUCCUUGUCGGGUAAGUUC
RNAcentral lists this ribosomal RNA (557 nucleotides) under uncultured bacterium. Its description in RNAcentral is "bacterial LSU rRNA". It matches the Rfam family "Bacterial large subunit ribosomal RNA", at positions 1434 to 1983 of the family's 2925-position model. The record is from RNAcentral.